CUUGAAUGAAUAAGCCACGGCUAAUUCCGUGCCAGCAGCCGCGGUAAUACGGGAGUGGCAAGCGUUAUCCGGAAUUAUUGGGCGUAAAGCGUCCGCAGGCGGCCUUGUAAGUCUGUCGUUAAAGCGUGGAGCUCAACUCCAUUUAAGCGAUGGAAACUGUGAGGCUAGAGUGUGGUAGGGGCAGAGGGAAUUCCCGGUGUAGCGGUGAAAUGCGUAGAUAUCGGGAAGAACACCAGUGGCGAAGGCGCUCUGCUGGGCCAUAACUGACGCUCAUGGACGAAAGCCAGGGGAGCGAAAGGGAUUAGAUACCCCUGUAGUCCUGGCCGUAAACGAUGAACACUAGGUGUCGGGGGAAUCGACCCCCUCGGUGUCGUAGCCAACGCGUUAAGUGUUCCGCCUGGGGAGUACGCACGCAAGUGUGAAACUCAAAGGAAUUGACGG
This 441-nucleotide ribosomal RNA is filed under the name uncultured cyanobacterium. RNAcentral's name for it is "bacterial SSU rRNA". It matches the Rfam family "Bacterial small subunit ribosomal RNA", at positions 477 to 916 of the family's 1533-position model. Lineage: Bacteria; Bacillati; Cyanobacteriota. The record is from RNAcentral.